CGCCGAAAGAUCGGGACCCGUCUCGGUC
Molecule: small RNA, 28 nt
Filed under: Bombyx mori (domestic silkworm)
Lineage: Eukaryota; Metazoa; Arthropoda; Insecta; Lepidoptera; Bombycidae
Description: ovarian small RNA-14356
Source: RNAcentral